AGCAGCCGCGGUAAUUCCAGCUCCAAUAGCGUAUAUUAAAGUUGCUGCAGUUAAAAAGCUCGUAGUUGAAUUUCGGGACUAAUAUGUCGGUCGUGCCUCGGUACGUACUGGCAUUGUUGGUUUCUCCCUUCUGACGGACCAUGAUGUCAUCUAUUUGGUGUCGUGGGAAAUCAGGACUGUUACUUUGAAAAGAUUAGAGUGUUUAAAGCAGGCUCACGCUUGAAUACAUUAGCAUGGAAUAAUGAAAUAGGACGUUUGAUUCUAUUUUGUUGGUUUCUAGGAUCGACGUAAUGAUUAAUAGGGAUAGUUGGGGGCAUUAGUAUUCAAUUGUCAGAGGUGAAAUUCUUGGAUUUAUUGAAGACUAACUACUGCGAAAGCAUUUGCCAAGGAUGUUUUCAUUAAUCAAGAACGAAAGUUAGGGGAUCGAAGACGAUCAGAUACCGUUGUAGUCUUAACCAUAAACUAUGCCGACUAGGGAUCGGAUGAUGUUAAUUUUUAAUGACUCU
This 506-nucleotide ribosomal RNA is filed under the name uncultured Glomus. RNAcentral's name for it is "SSU rRNA". It matches the Rfam family "Eukaryotic small subunit ribosomal RNA", at positions 569 to 1078 of the family's 1831-position model. Lineage: Eukaryota; Fungi; Glomeromycota; Glomeromycetes; Glomerales; Glomeraceae. The record is from RNAcentral.